CUAAUCCUGGUCGGACAUCAGGAGGUUAGUGCAAUGGCAUAAGCCAGCUUGACUGCGAGCGUGACGGCGCGAGCAGGUGCGAAAGCAGGUCAUAGUGAUCCGGUGGUUCUGAAUGGAAGGGCCAUCGCUCAACGGAUAAAAGGUACUCCGGGGAUAACAGGCUGAUACCGCCCAAGAGUUCAUAUCGACGGCGGUGUUUGGCACCUCGAUGUCGGCUCAUCACAUCCUGGGGCUGAAGUAGGUCCCAAGGGUAUGGCUGUUCGCCAUUUAAAGUGGUACGCGAGCUGGGUUUAGAACGUCGUGAGACAGUUCGGUCCCUAUCUGCCGUGGGCGCUGGAGAACUGAGGGGGGCUGCUCCUAGUACGAGAGGACCGGAGUGGACGCAUCACUGGUGUUCGGGUUGUCAUGCCAAUGGCACUGCCCGGUAGCUAAAUGCGGAAGAGAUAAGUGCUGAAAGCAUCUAAGCACGAAACUUGCCCCGAGAUGA
Molecule: ribosomal RNA, 487 nt
Filed under: Shigella flexneri
Lineage: Bacteria; Pseudomonadati; Pseudomonadota; Gammaproteobacteria; Enterobacterales; Enterobacteriaceae
Description: partial 23S ribosomal RNA
Rfam family: Bacterial large subunit ribosomal RNA
Source: RNAcentral